CCCUAUGGGGUGCAGCAGGCACAAAGCGAGGAACAUACCGGCGAAUGUGAGUUUUUUAGUCGGGUCAUUCAAUAAUCUAAUCCUCCAUGCGUUCAAACUAACUGUGUUAUCUUAUCAUAAUCCUUCGGGCAUAUCAACAACAAUUCCCGAAAAGGGAUUUGUUUGUUCCGCUUGCGCAAUCCUUGUGUUUUGGUAUAAUACUUUUAGAAUGCCCUUUGAGCAAGGGGCCACGGCAAAAAAACAGUUCAAAGUGCUUUAUUUCAACCCCGCUGUUGUGGUAUACUGUUUGGCGGCAAAAAAAUACAACGAAAGAGUGAUGAGAUUGGAAAGACUUGUCGGUACGGUGUCAAGGGGCAUACGGGCGCCCAUUAUCCGGGAGGGC
This 382-nucleotide ribosomal RNA is filed under the name uncultured prokaryote. Its description in RNAcentral is "partial 16S ribosomal RNA". The record is from RNAcentral.